RNAcentral lists this long non-coding RNA (745 nucleotides) under Gossypium raimondii (Peruvian cotton). Its description in RNAcentral is "long non-coding RNA (GRAI_LNC004350)". The record is from RNAcentral. Lineage: Eukaryota; Viridiplantae; Streptophyta; Magnoliopsida; Malvales; Malvaceae.
UCACUUUGAAAAAUAUAUAUGGGUUAAAUUGCUCUGUCUUUUUAAAAGGACCAAGUGUUCAAUUUUAAAAUUGAGAAGGACCGGAGAGUUAUUUUUACUUAAAUUCUUUCACAAAAUAUAAUGUUCAAGCCCAAUAAUGUCCGGCCCACUAAAAAAACCAAAUUAACAGCCCAAUUGACCCAAUACACUACCCAACCUAAACCCUAGCCCAAUACACCUAAAACAACAGCAGCGAACUUGGCGCCGCAACAGCCUCACCCUCCCACGCCUCCGCGAUUGUCGCAGCACGGCCCUCCGUGCGAGCGCGCCUCUUCAACGGCCACCAAACCUGCGAGAACAUAGCAACAAACGCUAACGAAACAGAAUGGCAAAGGGAAACAUAGUAGAUUUUUUUUUUUUAUUUUUUCCUUUUCUUUUCCAUUUCGGCUAUUUAAAGCCAUGAAAUCUGUAACAAAAGGGGGGAGACAAAUUUUGUACCAACGAAAUUAAGGAAAAUAAAAAGAAAAUCAGAAAAAACAAAAAGUUUCUUUGAAGGUGAUUAUUUUGUUUUUCUUUUUACUUUUACUGUCUUUUUUUGAUGUUCUUCUUUGUUUUUUAAAACAAAUAAAUGAAGAGGGAGAGAAAAGAGACUUACCGGCGUUGAGUAGUCAGAGGAUCUUCACUUCGUCGUCAUCGGAGUUGGAGGCUCCAUCUCCAGAGGCGGCGGCGGCAGCGCAAAAGAAACCUAGGGUUUCUCUGCUAUUUU